This is a long non-coding RNA of Ictalurus punctatus (channel catfish), 4603 nucleotides long. NCBI's taxonomy places the organism in Eukaryota, Metazoa, Chordata, Actinopteri, Siluriformes, Ictaluridae. The record is from Ensembl.
CUCUUGAAAGCCUUAAUCUGAGACGGGUACAGCGACAUGGUGCUCUGUGUGAGCCAAACACAGUCAGCGACACGACAUUAUUCAGCACAGCAAGAUGACAGCAUCCCAGUCUGGGACUGAACCGCAUCACACACGCGCGCAUUCGCUCCAUCUUAAAGUUAAAACAAUCGCAAUAAAAAUGCUCCGAUUGCCUUUGCAUGCAGUUCAUGAAUCUGAAUAAGCCAUACCUUGAGUUGUGCAGAGGCGGUGUUGACAAACCGAGGAGGGGUCCAAACCGCUGCAGCACUCUUAAUGUAAUGAGGCGAGGCAAUCCGGACACAGCCGAAUGAGGGCGAGCUCAAUACCUCCGUAUUCUAGAGCAAUCUCGACUCUAAGAGCUGUGUUGUGAGGUAUGUUUCACCGGAGCAUGAAUUAUCUAAACGCUUUGGAGGGGCUGAAGAGCGCAGUUGAGAAUGUGGUGUGGCAGACUGCAGCAAGUAGAGAAGACCCACUGCUGGAGAGUAUUGACACUAGUGUGCUACGUCGUGGGUGUGGGAGGAGAAGGAGAAGGUAAUAUGAUGUUAAAGAGCCGACACUGUUUCAGUCUGUGUGUGAAAAGGACAUGCACUAAACGCAGACACAGCAAGUGGGCAAAAGGUAUUGCCUCACCCCACUACUAUGCUGUGAAGAUCAAUCUAUGGCUCAGUUUCACUGGGAAUUGUGUCACUAAAUCGUACAGCGAUAAGAGGCACACACAGGUAAUAAGUGCACUUUAGCAUUUAUUGAAGAAUACAAGUAUUCAGUAUAACUGCAGGCAUUUUCAAUGUGGCAUAAAUUUGUGCAAAGGUGCAACGUCAAAAGCAGAAUACAUGAAAAAAAUUAAGUGUAAUAUCUGAGACUCUUACAUUAGUGUCUAAAAGGUGCAAGCACUACUUUAAACUAUGUUAUACUAUACUGUACUCUAAACCAUAAAUUGCUUUCAUAGGAUGGGUUCACUCAAGGCUCAUAGGCUGGAGGUGAAGCCAAUUCACUGUUCAGCAGAGCUUCUUGGCUGCUGCAUCUUCCCUGCACCACCACCGCAUCCUGCAAUCCAAACAACAGUAAUGUGGCAUGCAUAUCAACUCUGUAGUUUUAUGACACGUUAUACACAGGGUUAGAAAUGCAAUGAUUAUUGACCGGAUAAACUACUUUCACUGAUAGGGAUUUUAUUUCUACUGACACCUGUAAACCAUGCAGUAUUUACACAAAACUCAUGAAAUUUUUCAAUACAAUUAUUAAACACAAUUUUGAGCUCUAAUAGAGUAUUACUAUCAAUAUGUAAUCUGAUCUAAUGUGUGUGAUGGAAUAAUGCAUAUCCCUGGAUGCUUAACCCUCUAAAGCAGACAGUUUUAUGAAUUAAAAUCGUCCCAACAUUUGCUUUUCACUUUUAUAAAGUUACAUAGACUGUCUUUUAUCCAAUCCAAACUUUUUCCCCCUGCCAGAUAAGUACACUGUUUGAUUACUGAAGCAACAUGUACAACAACUGCUAGCAUUUGCAACACAUCAAAUCACAGCAAUGUAAGCACAUACUUACCUACCAUACAAAGUCAUUUUGUAAAAAUCAUUUCUGAUUCCUUAUGAUGUUUAAGGCAAAAAUGCUUUACAUGUUGAAUAAUAAUUGAUUAAAAACUAUGUAUUAUGCAUAAAUGACAACAGCUUAUUAGGGAAAAUAUAUGAAGUGCAUAAUCUUGGUUACAGUGAACAUAACUGAGAUGUAUUUUUAGGUAGAUGUCAAUAUGUUUUAUGGAAGGAGGAAAGUUAUGGCAAGAUGGUGUAGUUUUAGCUACAUUUUAACAAAUGUAGUUAGAGUGGAUAAUCCAUGUAUUCAUUCUUCUUCAGUAAUCAUUAUAUCCUGGUCAGGGUGACGGUGGAGUCUAUCAUUGAAACACAGGGCACAAGGCUGGAAUACACCCUAACGUGUAAUGUAAAAAAAAAACAUGUUAAUGGGCUAGAAGCAUCUCUACAAUGCAGGGAAUGUUAAAUAUGUAUGAACUUGCAAAUAGAAAUAACCCCAACUACCCUGAUUAUAGACAUAUUUCCAUGAGUUUGGAAACUUUCCUUAAGUAGAACAACACAAGGUCUUGGACUAGACCUUUAGCAUAAACAUUCCUAAAAGUUGCUUAGUUCCUGACGUCCUGAUCCUGUACCUGCUGCUGCAUAUUUAGCUGUUUUUCUCAUUGUAUAAUCUUAUCCAAAUUGGUGAUUUGCAUUGGUGUGUUAGGGCAGGGUAAACACUACUAUGUACAAUGACAUUUUAGGACCACUGUUUGUAAAGUAAAAAUAGAGUAUUUGGUGAAUAAAGUCAUGAUAUAUUGAGAAAAAAAGUCAUUCUAGUUCCACCAUAAUUCCACCACAGCACUGUGAAAGACUGAUCUCCAAUUAUCGGAAGCAUUUGGAUGCAGUUAUUGCUGCUAAUGGUGGCACAACCAGAUUUUAAGUUUAAGGGGGCAAUUAGUUUUCACAUAAGUGAUAGGUGUUGGAUCUCUUUUUAUUUGGCUUCAAUAAAAAAAAGAAUAAAUAAAAAUGUAUAGUGCGUUUACUCAGGUUGACUUUGUUUUAUAUUGUAUUUCAUUUGAAGAUCUAAAACUAUUUAAUAUGAAUAUAUACAAAAACAGAAGAAAUCUUUUUCACAGCACUGAUCAGUAUAUCAACUUAUAUAAAUCAUACUAAUCCAUCCAAAAGGAGUUCCAUCCAUAUUCUACCGCUUACUCCUUUUCACCCUGGACAGGGUACCAAUCCAUCACAGGGCACAAUCACAUACACACUCACACACACACCCAUUCAUACACUACGGACACUUUAGACAUGCCAAUCAGCCUACCAUGCAUGUCUUUGGACUGGUGGAGGAACCAGAGUACCUGGAGGAAACCCCCUCAUCUCCUCCUCACGGGGAGAACAUGCAAACUCCGCACACACAUGGCCCUGGCGGGACUCGAACCCAGGGCGCUGGAGGUGUGAGGCGAACGUGCUAAACACUAAGCCACCGUGCGCCCCAAAAGGACUUAUCAAUUCUGAGUGCAAAAUAUAUCUAGAGCUGCAACAACUAAUCGAUAAAAUUGAUACUAAUCAAUUAUGAAAAUCGUUGUCAACGAAUCUCAUUAUCGAUUACUUGGUCUGCGCGCGGUACGGGGUACAUUUACUCACUACGUUACUUCUGUUCAGAAAACACCCAUUGGAGAGUAAAUACUAAAUUUGUGUUCCAAAUGACAUACUAUACAAUUACACUAUACACUGUGUACUCUACCAUGUAGCGUGUGAAUUUUAGAAAGGUAAUAUCAUCUCAAAUGGAACACGCAUGACAUCAUACGCACGCAAUAUGACACCGCUUGCUUUAGCAGAUACCCAGAGUCACCGAUAAUCAAUCAAUUUCAUCAGUUUACUGUUUAUACAUUUAGUUAUAAACUUAGUUUAUAAUAUAUAUAAAUAUUUAUGCAUUACUUUUUAUGGAUGCAGAAAAAGCACUGAAUUAAACUACAGUCCUAAAUGAAUAAUAUAUAUUCUGGAGUGUGUCUGUGUGUAUUGGGUUCUUUUCAGUCUUAUCUAAUUGGGCAAACGGUUGUGUAAAGUUUUAGUCUGAAGUUUAUAUUUCUAACACUCAGUUUGUGGAUUUUAUUUUAAAUAAAUGAAAAAAAAUGGUACUGAAAGUUUGCCCCCCCCGUCAGAUUAAUCGAAAAAAUAAUUGGCCAACGAAUCGAUUAUGAAAAUAAUCAUUAGUUACAGCUCUAAAUAUAUCAUUGGAGAAUAUUAGGUGAAGAAAUUUACUACAAUCAUAAUUUAAAAAAAAACUUAUAUUACACAUUAAAAGAGAGUCAGACUGCUGAGUGACAGAAGAAGUAAGAUAAACCAUCAGCUAGCCUUCUGAAAGUCUUACCAUUUUAGUCCCAGAUGCAUGUAGGUUGGCCUUGCAGGAAAAGACAACAGUUGUGGUACACACGCACACCUCCAGCACGGAUAAAAUCAAAAGUAUGCCCUUUAUUCCGCUUAUUAAGUUCUGAAAAAUGUCAGAAAAAAGUAGGAAUAAUAAUAAUAAGUCAACUAAUACAAGCGAAAUUACAUAAGUGGUAUGGUUGUGGACAAUAAACCAGAAAAAUCAUAUUGAAAAACAUUAAAACAUUUUUGCAAAGAAAAAAUCCGAUGCCAGCAAGGACACUUACCUGCAGACGCCUAGCUGCAAACUGGCAGUCAUAGUAGCCGGUGUAGUAGAACUUUUUCUCAUGAUCAUCACUACAAGCAUCCAAAUGAGCUUUUAUGGCAAGUGCAAAGCAGAAGUAGCAGAUGCCGGACAUGGCAAGUACAGCACUGAUGAUGUUCAGGGCAAUUGUGCUUUUAAUCUACCCAAAGAGAAAAAGCUAGUCAGAUUGUAGCCCAUCAUAGUGUAACAUAUUUAAUUCAGAACUGAACAAAGCAUUCUGGAGUGAUAUAUGGACUCCACACUUGUAUAUGUACACUACAAUGAAAUGGCACAAAAGACAUCUGAAGCACUGCAAUGACGCUUGAUGAAUUUUUGUUGAAUUCAUAUGGAUUACUUACAAUUGGAGGACAGGUUCCCUUGUGUGCACCCAAGGUUACAGAUCCAGAGAAGAUA